UCGACAUAUAUAACACAUUAUAUAUAUUAUAAAAAUAAAAGAUAAUAUAUCCAAUAGUUAAUUAAUAUUAAAAUCACGUGUAUAUUGCAUGAGCUGAUCAAAAAUUCCCACAAUUAUGAUAACUCAUAAUUGAGACAAUUAAGCUCUUAAUUAAGGUACAAUUAAUAAAAUAUUAACGCCCUUAAUUAAGACACAAUUAACGUCCUCAAUUAAGGC
Molecule: long non-coding RNA, 216 nt
Filed under: Daucus carota (carrot)
Lineage: Eukaryota; Viridiplantae; Streptophyta; Magnoliopsida; Apiales; Apiaceae
Description: long non-coding RNA (DCAR_LNC004418)
Source: RNAcentral